AGGAAGAAGGAGAAGAAGAGAAGGGAAGAAGGAGUUGGUGCUGGAAUUUUUUUUCUGAGUUUCUCUAGCAAGAAAGAACACUAACAAGGGGAAAAGAAGGAUUUUGAUCUAGGGUACAAGGAAUUUGAGAGAGAGAAAUGGAGAAGAAGGUGAACAGUAGCAAAAACAGGGGUUCAUUAAGGGCAGCAUGUUUCUCUUCCGUCUAGGAGGAGCUUUUGAUUAUGGUUUUAAGUGGAUGAAAGGUGAUAUUUGCUAGUUGGUAUCAUGAGGUUAGAGGUUAAUUGAAAAGAGAAUCAGGUUGAUGGUUUUUAGAGCUCUGAUUGGCUAGACUCCAUGGUUCUGGGGAAGCAAGGGAAGGAAAUCUGCAGUAGAGAAUAAGGGUGUGA
Long non-coding RNA from Hevea brasiliensis (rubber tree), 386 nucleotides. RefSeq lists it as uncharacterized. The record is from RefSeq and is a predicted model, not a curated record. The transcript is spliced from 3 exons. NCBI's taxonomy places the organism in Eukaryota, Viridiplantae, Streptophyta, Magnoliopsida, Malpighiales, Euphorbiaceae.